AGUGAACGCUGGCGGUAGGCCUAACACAUGCAAGUCGAACGGCAGCACAGUAAGAGCUUGCUCUUACGGGUGGCGAGUGGCGGACGGGUGAGGAAUACAUCGGAAUCUACUUUUUCGUGGGUGAUAACGUAGGGAAACAUACGCUAAUACCGCAUACGACCUACGGGUGAAAGCAGGGGAUCUUCGGACCUUGCGCGAUUGAAUGAGCCGAUGUCGGAUUAGCUAGUUGGCGGGGUAAAGGCCCACCAAGGCGACGAUCCGUAGCUGGUCUGAGAGGAUGUUCAGCCACACUAGAACCGAGACACCGUCCCGACUCCCACGGGAGGCAGCCGUCGGGAAUAUUCGACAAUGGCCGCCAGCUUGACCCACCCCUCCCGCGCCAGUGAAGAACGCCCUCGGGUUGUAAAGCCCUUUUCUUGGGAAAGAAAAGCAGCCGGUUACUACCCCGCUGUUCUGACGGUACCCAAAGAAUAAGCACCGGCUAACUUCGUG
This 492-nucleotide ribosomal RNA is filed under the name uncultured bacterium. RNAcentral's name for it is "partial 16S ribosomal RNA". It matches the Rfam family "Bacterial small subunit ribosomal RNA", at positions 29 to 507 of the family's 1533-position model. The record is from RNAcentral.